CAGCACAGCACCAGGAGAGAGAACCCGACAAGAACCGGAGAAGAAGUUGAACAUCAAUUUCAUCUGAAUUUCGCCGAGCCCUAAUUGAAAUUCCAGGUAAUAUUUAGAAGAUUUUUUUCUCACAGCUCUGUUCUAAGAUAAGGGCACAUUUGUUAAUUUCUAAGAAGGGUCGAGGGUGGAAGAAACCCUAGUUACGCAUCUGUAAAAAUCUUACCGAAUUUAGCUAUUUCUGUAUUUUCUGGAUGUUCUGUGUUGCGAAUUGAUCGUUUUCUGUUUGUGGCAGAAAUGGGUUCAUUUCGUAAUCCCAGGGUUUGUUUUAGCCUGGGUGUUGCUUCUCAUUGUUCGUUGGCUUUUGCUAGAAAAGAUCGAACUUUUAUGGGUCAUAUUUGUGAUGUUUCUUGUGUUACAUAACAGUGUGAUAGUUUUUUUUUUAUCAGUGAAAUUCUUACUUCAAUAGCGUUUUUCCCUUCAGAGAGCUGCAACCAUCAUAUCUGGAAGAAAAUACUAGCAAUAGUGGAAUAAAAAGAUGAAUUUCUAAUCCUGUAAUAAGAAAAUUCGGUAUUCUUGGUAUGGCAGAGAAUAUUUUAUGGAAUAGUUUUUUUACUCAUUGAAUCGUUCUCCAAUGUUUAUUUCCUCAAUGGUUGAAAAUUCACCACCAAAAGGGUGAAAACAACUUACGUCAUUUUCCAUUACGAAUAUUCUGAAUCUCACUCUGUAUCACUUGAUUCAUCCAACACAUAAGGUUCGUUGUCAACUUUAAUAUACAAAUAUCUCAGCAAAAUACCAUCCUCCAUCUUUUAUGAUUGCCGGGGUGGAGCCACAUUACAGUUGACGGGUUUGGUAGGUUUCGCCCACAUCAUGUACUUUAUAUUCAAAUUUUCUUUUAAUAUGUAUGCAUUAUUUAUCUAGCCUUGGUGGACAGAGUUACCGGUACCUGUUACUUGUUGCUGGUGGGGGUGGCAGUUAUCCGUGGAAUUAGUCGAGGUGCGAGAAAGCUGGCCAGGACACCAUGUUCAUCAAAAAGAAAAUAAAUUUAUCCCGAUUCCAUUCUCUUCAUUCUCAAAAUAAAUAAAUAAUUUAUCUAGAACCCUUUUAGAAGAUGCGGAUGCCUUUUGUAAAAUUCAGAAUCUAUAAAUUCAAUCCUAGCGCGUUUAAUGAUCGCCAUAUGAUCCUGUUUUUAAUCCAACCAUAUAUUGAAAAACUAUUUGGACGAUGAUCUGCCAAAGUAAAUUCUUUUUUGCUGAAAAUAUGCUGCUUCAUAUCCAAUUCGCAUCUUUGUAGUCUCCACAGUUCAUAGUUCAAACAAUGUUUUACUGACCAUUGGUAACCUAAAAAUCUUUUUCUUUUUGAGAAUUGGUGACUUAGAGAUCUUAUCGAAUCUUAGGUUAAGGGAAAUAACAUCAGUUGCACUAAACUGGUUUUAUGUUAAACUUAAACAGGAAAGGUAUAUAUUGCAUGCCUUGUAGGAU
RNAcentral lists this unclassified non-coding RNA (1469 nucleotides) under Hevea brasiliensis (rubber tree). Lineage: Eukaryota; Viridiplantae; Streptophyta; Magnoliopsida; Malpighiales; Euphorbiaceae. The record is from RNAcentral.